AACUAAUGACCCCAAGGUUUGCAAGUGUGCUUAGUCACUUCAGUCGUGUCCGACUCUGUGCGACCCCAUGGACCGUAGCCCACCAGGUUCCUCUGUCCAUGGGAUUCUCCAGGCAAGAAUACUGGAGUGGGGUGCCGUGCCCGCCUCUGGGGGAUCUUCCCAACCCAGGGAUCGAACCCACAUCUCUUUCGUCUCCUGCAUUGGCAGGUUGCAUGCUUCCAGCAAGAUCCCUGGUGCCAAAGGAAGUCCACAGGCCGAGAAGGAAAGAGAAGCAAGCCCUUUAAGCUCUCUAGAAACAGCUCAGUGCAACUGCAGGCGAACUCAGAAGUGGGCCAAGGGGAUCCAGAGAUGGCCCCUGACACUGCCCAGUUGCCAUGCUGUGAGGAAGCCCAGACCACAGGCAGAGGUCAUGUAUAGGUGUUCCAGCUGACAGCCCCAGAUGAGGUCUCAGACGACACCCUGCAACCACUGUCUGAGGGGGCCAUGGAGUGAUGCCAACCCCCAGUCCUCAGGCCACCCCAGCUGACACCAAAGAGCUGUCCCUACCAAGCCCUGCUCAAAUCACGGAUUUUAUUGGAAAAAUAAAUACUGUGUUUAUU
Bos taurus (domestic cattle) is the source of this 599-nucleotide long non-coding RNA. The record is from Ensembl. NCBI's taxonomy places the organism in Eukaryota, Metazoa, Chordata, Mammalia, Artiodactyla, Bovidae.